Molecule: long non-coding RNA, 381 nt
Filed under: Elaeis guineensis (African oil palm)
Lineage: Eukaryota; Viridiplantae; Streptophyta; Magnoliopsida; Arecales; Arecaceae
Description: long non-coding RNA (EGUI_LNC061752)
Source: RNAcentral
CUUGAUGGAGCAGAAUGGCACUCUGUCUCAUCGAUCCAAGAGAAGCUCGGAUGUUUUCGAGGUCACUGACGAGUCUACUAUUGUCGGAGGCCUUGGGUGCUGAGGCUACAGGUGAGAACCAUCUGCUAUAGAGACUCGGAUGAAGACUUUCAGUUGGCGAAGUCCGAUAAGAGCCCAAUUGCUAGGGAAGUCCGUCUGGGAUUUACCUGGUGUGGAAGCUCGUCUGAAGAUUAUCCAUCGAAGAUGUCCGAUUUCAUGAGGAACUUAGUGGAAGGUCGGCUGGUGGUGGACUUCGGAUGGCAUUGGGGAGGCUCGUCUGCUGGAGGAGUUUGAGGGAUCCGAAGGUGAUCGACCGUUGUAGAAAUCCAACUGCUGGAGCCC